Molecule: transfer RNA, 113 nt
Filed under: Astyanax mexicanus (Mexican tetra)
Lineage: Eukaryota; Metazoa; Chordata; Actinopteri; Characiformes; Acestrorhamphidae
Rfam family: tRNA
About the family: Transfer RNA (tRNA) molecules are approximately 80 nucleotides in length.
Source: Rfam by way of RNAcentral
GUCAGAAUGGCCGAGCGGUCUAAGGCGCCAGACUCAAGGUUGUGCACCUUCUCCAAAACAGAGAGAUUUCUGGUCUCCGAAUGGAGGUGUGGGUUCAAAUCCCACUUCUGACA